Non-coding RNA from Ictidomys tridecemlineatus (thirteen-lined ground squirrel), 68 nucleotides. Lineage: Eukaryota; Metazoa; Chordata; Mammalia; Rodentia; Sciuridae. The record is from Rfam.
GGGGCUGUGGCUCAGUGGUAGAGCGCUUGCCUAGCACGUGUGAGGUACUGGUUCGAUCCUCAGCACCA